Molecule: long non-coding RNA, 400 nt
Organism: Mesocricetus auratus (golden hamster)
Lineage: Eukaryota; Metazoa; Chordata; Mammalia; Rodentia; Cricetidae
Exons: 2
Source: RefSeq, a predicted model, not a curated record
CAAUGAGUGCAAUCCUGAUGGCCCCUCAGGAGCUAAGCUCCACUGUGCAAGGGCACCUCCCACUCCAGACAAAUGGCUUUCUUUCCCAACUUUCGGAUUAACUGUGAGACAAAGGUAAAGAGGAAACUGGAGCAGUUCCUAUGGCAGCCGGCUAAUUCUGGACAGAAGACUGCAGAGCUCAGCAUGGUUUCCUCACAAAACGAACACACCUCCCCUCCUGAUCUGAAGGAGAAAGUGGCACCCUCUGGAAGCAACAAUAAGCUCAAAGGCGUCAGGCAGGACACAGCUUCUGUGAGGCCUGACAACGGGGAACUCAUCACAGUCUAAGGACUCCCACUGAUGGCAAUGUUCAACUACUGCAAAACUUGUCACAGUAAAGUUCUCGUGAGAUUCAAUGGGA